RNAcentral lists this ribosomal RNA (497 nucleotides) under uncultured bacterium. RNAcentral's name for it is "partial 16S ribosomal RNA". It matches the Rfam family "Bacterial small subunit ribosomal RNA", at positions 28 to 507 of the family's 1533-position model. The record is from RNAcentral.
GAUGAACGCUGGCGGCGUGCCUAAUACAUGCAAGUCGAGCGAACGGACGAGAAGCUUGCUUCUCUGAUGUUAGCGGCGGACGGGUGAGUAACACGUGGAUAACCUACCUAUAAGACUGGGAUAACUUCGGGAAACCGGAGCUAAUACCGGAUAAUAUUUUGAACCGCAUGGUUCAAAAGUGAAAGACGGUCUUGCUGUCACUUAUAGAUGGAUCCGCGCUGCAUUAGCUAGUUGGUAAGGUAGCGGCUUACCAAGGCAACGAUGCAUAGCCGACCUGAGAGGGUGAUCGGCCACACUGGAACUGAGACACGGUCCAGACUCCUACGGGAGGCAGCAGUAGGGAAUCUUCCGCAAUGGGCGAAAGCCUGACGGAGCAACGCCGCGUGAGUGAUGAAGGUCUUCGGAUCGUAAAACUCUGUUAUUAGUGAAGAACAUAUGUGUAAGUAACUGUGCACAUCUUGACGGUACCUAAUCAGAAAGCCACGGCUAACUACGUG